CAAAUUUACAGCAACGUUUGUUUAUUGGAUGUACCAAAGUCACCAUUCAAUUUGACUUUUUCAGCUUUCCAUCUCAAUAUUGGAAAGAUUUGGAUCAAAAUUGGUCAGAUUGGGUUUUAAUCCUUAUUACUAUUAUUGUGUCUUCUUCUUUAAUUUCAUCCACCAUUGUCAUCCUCCAUUGUCGAAGGUUGCCAUUGUUUCAGAUCGAGAGUUUCA
RNAcentral lists this long non-coding RNA (216 nucleotides) under Nicotiana benthamiana. Its description in RNAcentral is "long non-coding RNA (NBEN_LNC000750)". Lineage: Eukaryota; Viridiplantae; Streptophyta; Magnoliopsida; Solanales; Solanaceae. The record is from RNAcentral.